Long non-coding RNA from Symphalangus syndactylus (siamang), 265 nucleotides. RefSeq lists it as uncharacterized. The record is from RefSeq and is a predicted model, not a curated record. NCBI's taxonomy places the organism in Eukaryota, Metazoa, Chordata, Mammalia, Primates, Hylobatidae.
CUUGUAUUAAUGUUUUUCUGUUUCUUCUUUCUCUUAUCCCAGACCCUAUAUCCUGAAGGUGGCUCCAACGAAAAAAGAGAAGCAGCAAGAUACUUCAGAUUAUGACAAGGGUUGAAAGAGCCUCGCCACAUUGGCUGCUUAAGAACAAAAGAAGACAUUGAUAUGAAGAGUCAGGUCACUAGAAAACAGAAUAUCAUGGGAUCAUGUUUGACCGCACAAGUGGUCUCUAUCAAUAUCUAUGCCUGAAGAGGAAGAAUGUUUGCCU